RNAcentral lists this ribosomal RNA (500 nucleotides) under uncultured bacterium. RNAcentral's name for it is "partial 16S ribosomal RNA". It matches the Rfam family "Bacterial small subunit ribosomal RNA", at positions 29 to 523 of the family's 1533-position model. The record is from RNAcentral.
AUUGAACGCUGGCGGCAUGCCUUACACAUGCAAGUCGAACGGCAGCACGGGAGCAAUCCUGGUGGCGAGUGGCGAACGGGUGAGUAAUGUAUCGGAACGUGCCCAGGCGUGGGGGAUAACGUAGCGAAAGCUACGCUAAUACCGCAUACGAGCUAUGGAUGAAAGCGGGGGACCGUAAGGCCUCGCGCUAUUGGAGCGGCCGAUAUCAGAUUAGGUAGUUGGUGGGGUAAAGGCCUACCAAGCCGACGAUCUGUAGCUGGUCUGAGAGGACGACCAGCCACACUGGGACUGAGACACGGCCCAGACUCCUACGGGAGGCAGCAGUGGGGAAUUUUGGACAAUGGGCGCAAGCCUGAUCCAGCAAUGCCGCGUGCAGGAUGAAGGCCUUCGGGUUGCAAACUGCUUUUGUACGGAGCGAAAAGGCUCUCUCUAAUACAGGGGGCUCAUGACGGUACCGUAAGAAUAAGCACCGGCUAACUACGUGCCAGCAGCAGCCGCCG